AUUGGCGUCGUUGAUGCGGGCUGGAUCUCUCGGGGUUACAGCCUUGCUGAAUUAUUCACCCUUGUCUUUUGCGUACUUCUUGUUUCCUUGGUGGGUUCGCCCACCACUAGGACAAACAUAAACCUUUUGUAAUUGCAAUCAGCGUCAGUAACAAAUUAAUAAUUACAACUUUCAACAACGGAUCUCUUGGUUCUGGCAUCGAUGAAGAACGCAGCGAAAUGCGAUAAGUAGUGUGAAUUGCAGAAUUCAGUGAAUCAUCGAAUCUUUGAACGCACAUUGCGCCCUUUGGUAUUCCAAAGGGCAUGCCUGUUCGAGCGUCAUUUGUACCCUCAAGCUUUGCUUGGUGUUGGGCGUCUUGUCUCUAGCUUUGCUGGAGACUCGCCUUAAAGUAAUUGGCAGCCGGCCUACUGGUUUCGGAGCGCAGCACAAGUCGCACUCUCUAUCAGCAAAGGUCUAGCAUCCAUUAAGCCUUUUUUCAACUUUUGACCUCGGAUCAGGUAGGGAUACCCGCUGAACUUAAGCAUAUCAAUAAGCCGGAGGAA
Molecule: ribosomal RNA, 542 nt
Filed under: Fusarium sp. 5 JM-2013
Lineage: Eukaryota; Fungi; Ascomycota; Sordariomycetes; Hypocreales; Nectriaceae
Description: eukaryotic LSU rRNA
Rfam family: 5.8S ribosomal RNA (bases 167-320)
Source: RNAcentral